This is a long non-coding RNA of Homo sapiens (human), 561 nucleotides long. RefSeq annotates it as long independently transcribed non-coding RNA 235. Lineage: Eukaryota; Metazoa; Chordata; Mammalia; Primates; Hominidae. The record is from RefSeq and is marked predicted. The transcript has a single exon.
GUCACAGACGCGUGGGGCUCGCGGGGAGCCGGGCUGGGGCCGUCCGUGUCCCGCGGGGCUCUGGGCGGCCGCUCGACCGAGGACCCACGACUCCGCCCCGACCCCGCCGUGUUCGCGAGACCCGGAGACCCCUUCGCGCCUUCCAGGACCGCCCCUUUCGCGACGCUGCGUGCUGUGCUUGGUCCUGGCGGCCAAGAGCGGCGGUGGCAAGGGGACCGCCCUGGCCCGAGACGCGGCCUGGCCUCGCAGCGUCGCUUGGGCACAGCCUCUCUAGGCCCCUUCGUCCUCGGUCGCGGAGGGACGCCAUUAAACGGCCACGCCGGGCUCAACUGGGACGCGGCCCACGGCGCCCAACCAGGGCCUGGGGGAGGGAAGCCGGGGCGACUCCUGGGUCCUUCCAGGACCCUUGCGCAGGCCUCAUUCUCUCCCCGGAGGUCCCCUUCCCGCUGCCCUGAGGCCACUCUCCUGCCAGCAGCUGCUGGGCCGGCUCUCGGGAGAAUGCCUUGGCGUCAAGCUUAUCAGGCUGCAGGGCGGGACGCGAGUGCUGAGGGCAGCCAGACU